Molecule: long non-coding RNA, 467 nt
Organism: Branchiostoma floridae (Florida lancelet)
Lineage: Eukaryota; Metazoa; Chordata; Leptocardii; Amphioxiformes; Branchiostomatidae
Exons: 3
Source: RefSeq, a predicted model, not a curated record
CAGCAGGCAUAAUAUCGACGUCACCUACACAGACAACUUUGAUUACAAUCCCGACCAACACGAUAGAAACAGUAACGGCUUCCAGGCAGAGAGACAGCGGCAUAUCAACGAGUUUGAUGAUCUAGUAGACGAUUGGGUGGACAAUGUCCCAGAUGUGGACAAAGUUGCCACGUCAUUCAACAACUUCCGAAGCGGGAGCCUCAUUGCCAAUAGUGACGUCAUCCUGGCGGGAAAGCCGCUGUCUAGUGCGCAGGUGCAGGAGGGUCUAAACAGCCGAAUCACCUCUGAUCCGAAUUCAAACUUUAAACAAGUCACAGCGAAACCUUACGAUUACUGCGGCGACCCCAACACACAGGACGCCUGCUACAGUCGGGACUACUGCACCAACACGGACACGGGCGGCUUCACCUGUCAGUGCCCCCCGACUCAUAUAGACGACUCUCCCGAUGGCCUACCCGGGCGCAAAU